This 105-nucleotide non-coding RNA is filed under the name uncultured Mallomonas. The record is from RNAcentral. Lineage: Eukaryota; Synurophyceae; Synurales; Mallomonadaceae.
AGAGAGAAAGAGAAAGAGAAAGAAGACAGUGAGAAAGACACUAAAACUCCUCUGAAAUCUAGUCUUUCUUCUUCUUCCUCUUCUUCUCUCUCUCUCUGCUGUUUC